This is an RNA transcript of Phacochoerus africanus (Common warthog), 10634 nucleotides long. It is a transcript of the gene named Ral GTPase activating protein catalytic subunit alpha 2, with no coding region annotated. NCBI's taxonomy places the organism in Eukaryota, Metazoa, Chordata, Mammalia, Artiodactyla, Suidae. The transcript is spliced from 41 exons. The record is from RefSeq and is a predicted model, not a curated record.
GAGGCGGCGAGCGGCCCGCGCGACACGCGCCGGCCCGACCCUAUGCGGUGACUCGCGCGGCGCAGUCGCCUCCUGCCCCGCCGGCGGGGCCCGGGCUCCCGCGGCGGCAUGUUCUCCCGAAGGAGCCACGGGGAUGUGAAGAAGUCCACCCAGAAGGUGCUGGACCCCAAGAAGGACGUGCUGACCCGCCUGAAGCACCUGCGGGCGCUGCUGGAUAACGUGGAUGCAAGUGAUCUUAAGCAGUUUUUUGAAACCAACUAUUCUCAAAUAUAUUUCAUCUUCUAUGAAAAUUUUAUAACACUGGAAAAUAGUUUGAAAUUAAAAGGGAAUAAGUCACAGAGGGAGGAGCUGGACUCCAUCCUCUUUCUUUUUGAAAAAAUACUGCAGUUUCUACCUGAACGAAUUUUCUUUCGAUGGCAUUACCAGAGUAUAGGCUCAACUUUAAAGAAGCUUCUACACACUGGAAAUUCUAUUAAGAUAAGAUGUGAAGGAAUCAGGCUGUUUCUUCUGUGGCUUCAAGCGCUGCAGACGAACUGUGCGGAAGAGCAGGUGCUGAUCUUUGCCUGCCUGGUGCCCGGCUUCCCAGCGAUCAUGUCAUCCAGGGGGCCGUGUACCCUGGAGACGCUCCUCAGUCCCAGCCCUGGUGUCGCUGAUGCAAAGGUAUAUCCAGAAGAAAUCACUCCGCUCGUGCCAGCCGUGUCAGGGGAGAAGAUUGCAGAGGACCAGACGUGCUUUUUUCUUCAGCUGCUGUUGAAAUAUAUGGUUAUUCAGGCUGCAAGCCUGGAGUGGAAGCAUAAGGAGAAUCAAGAGACUGGUUUUAAAUUCCUUUUCACGUUGUUUCGAAAGUAUUACCUUCCUCAUUUAUUUCCAUCGUUUACCAAGUUAACGAACAUCUACAAGCCUGUCCUUGAUGUCCCCCACCUGAGACCAAAGCCCGUGUACAUCACGACAACGCGAGACAAUGAAAACGUUUACAGCACAAAGAUUCCGUACAUGGCAGCUCGUGUUGUUUUUAUUAAGUGGAUCGUAACUUUCUUUUUGGAAAAAAAGUAUCUAUCCACAGCACAAAACACUAAAAAUGGAGUUGAUGUAUUGCCUAAAAUCAUACAGACUGUCGGGGGUGGAGCCACAGUGCAAGACCGGGCACCCGAGCUGGACGGUGGGGCAGCCGAGCCGGACAGAAGCCACUCCAACAGCAGCACCUUGUCGGACCGGAGGCUCAGCAGCUCGAGCCUCUGCAGCGUCGAGGAGGAGCACCGUGCCGUGUACGAGAUGGUGCAGCGCAUCCUGCUGUCCACGCGUGGCUACGUCAACUUCGUGAACGAAGUGUUCCGUCAGGCAUUUUUGUUGCCUUCCUGUGACAUAGCUGUCACCAGAAAAGUAGUUCAGGUGUACAGAAAGUGGAUCCUCCAGGAAAAACCUGUGUUCAUGGAGGAACCAGACAUAAAAGAAGUUGCCCAAGAAGAUGCUGAAAAAUUAGGAUUUCCGGAAACCGAUGCCAAGGAGACCUCAUCUGAAAGUUCUGGUCACAAGCGAUCUUCCAGUUGGGGACGAACGUACUCUUUCACGAGUGCCGUGAGCAGAGGGUGUGUGACGGAAGAGGAAAAUCAGAACGUGAAAGCAGGGGCCCAGGCAAUGCUGCAGGUAUUUUUGACAAAUGCUGCAAACGUCUUUUUGCUGGAACCCUGUGCUGAAGUUCCCAUGCUCUUAAAAGAGCAAGUUGAUGCUUGUAAAGCUGUUUUGAUUAUUUUUAGGCGCAUGAUAAUGGAGCUUACAAUGAAUAAAAAGACAUGGGAACAGAUGCUGCAGAUACUACUCAGGAUAACAGAAGCCGUCAUGCAGAAGCCAAAGGAUAAACAAGUGAAGGACUUGUUUGCCCAGAGCUUGGCAGGCUUGCUAUUUAGGACGCUCAUGGUGGCCUGGAUCCGAGCAAACCUCUGCGUGCCCAUUUCCCGGGAGCUGUGGGAUGACUUUCUGGGCGUGCUGUCCUCCCGCACGGAGUGGGAGGAGCUCAUAAACGAGUGGGCCAGCAUCAUGGACUCCUUGACGGCAGUGCUCGCCAGGACCGUGUACGGGGUCGAGAUGACCAACCUGCCCCUGGACAAAUUAAGUGAACAAAAAGAGAAGAAGCAGCGAGGCAAAGGCUGUGUUCCAGAUUCUCAGAAAGGAACCACCGUGGGGAGAUCCUUUUCCCUGAGCUGGCGGAGCCACCCCGAAAUGACCGAGCCCAUGCGCUUUCGGAGCGCCACCACGUCCGGGGCCCCGGGAGUGGAGAAGGCGAGAAACAUCGUCCGCCAGAAAGCAACCGAAGUGGAGGAGUGCCCGCAGCAGGAAAGUGCACCUGCGGCGGAGCCGGGGGCCCAGGCGGCGGACGAGCAGCAACGAAUGGUUCGGAGCAGCAGCUCCCCUGACGUCACGGAGCCACUGGGUGCAGAUGCCCCGCCAGGUCAGAAUGUAGGAGAUACACAGAGUGUGAGUUCUUCAGAGCCCAGGCCUGUUCAGGAGAGCAAAGGACACACGAAGAAAGAACACGAUGGGAUCACAAUCUCAGUUCGAAGAAGCAGCAGCCCUGCAGAGUUGGAUUUAAAAGAUGAUUUGCCGCAGACGCAAGGAAAAUGUCGGGAAAGACAGAAGAGUGACAGUGUUGGCAGUGACACAGGUCUGGGCUAUGGCACUGACACAGAGCUGUCCUUAAGCCCGUGGCAGACCUACGAGGAAGACCCGGACCUGAACACUCCCACGGAUGCUGUGACCGACUCUGACGCCCGCCACUGGCUACAGCUGAGUCCUACGGAUGCUUCACACGUAACAGACAGCAGCGAGUGCCUCGCAGACGACUGCAGCAUCAUUGCUGGAGGGACCCUCACUGGGUGGCACCCAGACUCGGCCGCUGUGCUCUGGCGGAGGGUCUUGGGAAUCCUUGGAGAUGUGAAUAAUAUCCAGUCACCCAAGAUCCACGCCAGGGUUUUUGGCUAUCUCUAUGAACUCUGGUACAAACUAGCAAAGAUACGGGAUAACCUAGCAAUAAGCCUGGAUAACCAGUCCUCCCCAUCUCCUCCUGCCUUGAUCCCACCACUCAGAAUGUUUGCAUCAUGGCUAUUUAAGGCGACGACGUUGCCAAACGAGUAUAAGGAAGGCAAACUCCAAGCCUACAAGCUGAUCUGUGCCAUGAUGACCAGACGCCAGGACGUCCUGCCCAACUCGGACUUCCUGGUGCAUUUUUACCUUGUCAUGCACCUGGGGCUGACCAGCGAGGACCAGGACAUCUUAAACACCAUCGUAAGGCACUGUCCGCCCCGCUUCUUCUCCCUGGGUUUGCCCGGCUUCUCCAUGCUGAUGGGGGACUUCAUCACGGCCGCCGCCAGGGUCCUCAGCGCAGACAUGCUGGCGGCCCCUCGUUCGGAAGCCCUCACCAUUCUGGGGUCUCUGGUCUGCUUUCCGAAUACCUACCGCGAGGUCCCUCUGCUGCAGUCACUGCCGGAUGUCACCGAAGUCGUCACAGGAACUGAUGAUGUCAAGCAUUACCUCAUAAGUAUUUUACUGAAGAAUGCCACCGAGGAGCCAAAUGAGCAUGCAAGAUGCAUUGCCAUUUGCUCCCUCGGGGUCUGGAUAUGUGAAGAGCUAGCACAGUGUAUGAGCCAUCCUCAGCUGAAAGAGGCCGUCAACGUGAUAGGCGUCACUUUGAAGUUUCCCAACAAAGUCGUGGCCCAGGUGGCUUGCGAUGUUCUUCAGUUGCUGGUUUCCUACUGGGAAAAGCUUCAGAUAUUCGAACCCUCUCUGCCUCGGAAAAUUGCCGAAAUCCUCGUGGCCACAAUUGCUUUUCUUUUACCGAGUGCAGAGUAUUCCUCAGUGGAAACAGAUAAGAAGCUCAUCGUGUCCUUGCUGCUCUGCCUCCUGGACUGGUGCAUGGCCCUGCCACUGAGCGCCCUUCUCCACCCCGUGGCUACGGCAGCCAUGGAGGAGCAGGCCUCGUCCCGAGCGCCACUGCUGGAUUACGUCUACAGGGUUCUGCACUGCUGUGUUUGUGGCUCGAGCACGUACACCCAACAGAGCCACUACACCCUGACCCUGGCUGACCUGUCGUCCACGGAUUACGACCCCUUCCUGCCACUGGCAAACGUGAAGAGUUCUGAGCCGGCCCAGCAUCAUUCAUCAGCAGAACUGGGCAACCUGCUUACUGUCGAAGAGGAGCGGAGGCGGCGGAGCCUGGAGCUGAUCCCGCUGACGGCCCGCAUGGUGAUGGCGCAUCUGGUCAACCACCUGGGCCACUUCCCGCUCUGCGGGGGCCCCGCCGCGCUGCACAGCCUGGUCAGCGAGAACCACGACAACGCGCACGCGGACGCCGCGGAGCUGUCCCCCGAGGUCUUCAGGAGCCCCAACCUGCAGCUGUUCGUGUUUAACGACAGCACCCUCAUCUCCUGCCUUCAGACGCCGGCCCAGGAACCUGCAGACGGGUCUCCAUCGGGCGCCCUCUCGGACGUGAGAGUGAUCGUGAGGGACAUCUCAGGGAAGUACUCGUGGGACGGGAAGGUGCUCUACGGGCCCCUGGCCGGCUGCCCAGCCCCCCAGGGCAGAUGUCCCUCUUCUCUAGUUUCGGGCUGGCCCCGCCCACCGUCUGGACCUCAGAAGGACCUUUCCCAGACGGACGAGGGAGAGGACGUCCUGGACAAGUUACUUGAAAACAUCGGCCACACAAGCCCAGAAUGCCUUUUGCCAUCACAGCUGAACCUCAAUGAGCCUUCCCCACCCCCGUGUGGAAUGAACCGCGACCAGGAGAAGGAAAUCAUCCAGGCCAUCCUGCGGCAGAGCGCCCAGGAGGACGCCUAUGUCCAGAGGUGCCACUCAGACCCGGCCCUGAGGGUUGCCAGCCAGGAGCAGCCGUUCCCUGUGGAGCCCCGGGGAGCCUUCUACUUCUGCAGGUUGUUGCUGGACGACUUGGGGAUGAAUUCCUGGGACAGGAGGAAGAAUUUCCAUCUGCUGAAGAAAAAUUCAAAAUUAUUGAGAGAGCUAAAACACCUGGACUCCCGACAGUGCCGUGAAACGCACAAAAUCGCCGUGUUUUACAUUGCCGAAGGUCAAGAGGACAAGUGUUCGAUCCUUUCCAAUGAAAGAGGAAGCCAAGCAUACGAAGACUUCGUUGCCGGACUUGGAUGGGAGGUGGACCUGUCCACGCACUGCGGGUUCAUGGGUGGACUUCAGCGCAAUGGCACCACAGGCCAGACGGCCCCCUACUAUGCCACCUCGACCGUGGAAGUGAUUUUCCAUGUCUCAACUCGGAUGCCAUCAGACUCAGAUGACUCUCUCACCAAAAAGCUCCGUCACCUGGGGAAUGACGAGGUCCACAUCGUCUGGUCUGAACACUCCAGGGACUACCGCAGGGGGAUUAUCCCCACCGCCUUUGGAGACGUUUCAAUCAUCAUCUACCCUAUGAAGAAUCACAUGUUCUUUAUCGCGAUAACCAAGAAACCCGAGGUUCCAUUUUUUGGGCCCCUGUUUGAUGGAGCCAUCGUGAGUGGGAAGCUGCUGCCAAGCCUUAUCUGUGCCACGUGCAUCAACGCCAGCAGGGCUGUGAAGUGCCUCAUCCCCCUGUACCAGAGCUUCUACGAGGAGCGGGCUCUGUAUCUGGAAGCAAUAAUUCAGAACCACCGCGAAGUCAUGACGUUUGAGGAUUUCGCAGCCCAGGUCUUCUCUCCGUCUCCCAGCUACUCCGUGACUGGAACCGAUGCGGCCAGGAGCACUUCCUCCUCCUCACCAUGGGCCAGAUUGUAGAGGCUCCAGGAUUUAGAGCAAGUGGGAGGACAUCCCUCACCAGUUCCAUCAGAUUCUGCCGCUGUUAAUGUGGGUCGUAUCUGGAGCUUAAACCAGAUUAGUCUGAGUUGGGCUCAGGCUGCCUCUGUGGCUUCCCACAAAACGGCUUCUGCGCUCAGGAUGGCUUGGGCACCCUCUGGGAAAGGUGUAGAGUGUUCACCUGCCUUGUCAAAAAGACUUUUUUCCUACAAUAAAGACAUUAAGUUCCCAGAAGCUGUUGGAAGACUGGGCCUGGAGUCACGGGGUCAUCCUGGUGGCCGACACAGUCCCCUCGCAAGGCUGCAGGUGUGUCUCACUCGGUCCCAAAGUGAACCUGGUGGGUGGGUGCUGUUCAGACUGCUUUAUGGCCCACCAGUCUUCACCCAGGGAGGGAGCUACACCUAGCUGUCACCUGCGGGACCCCUACGCCAGGCACAGGGACAAAAAUUUGGGGUAUCAUAGGCCGUCCUGCAGUGACGCCACCAAGGCCAUCUGCUUGACCGUAAGCCACCAAAUCCAUCCCCAGAAAGAGCAUGAGGCAGGACGGUGUUCCCCAUUCAGUGGGGAUGUCACUCACAGACUCAUCCAGGAUGUCCCCAUUUUCUCUCCCCUCCUCCCUCCCUGAAAAGUCCUAUGAGUCAGGUUUUGAGCCAUAGCACUUCUUAGGCAUUCGCCGUCCUCAUAAAUUUGCUGGAACCAGCCAAGGUCAUCAUAGAACAUGGAGCAGGAAGGGGCUUCAGGAGACCCCUGUCUGAUUCCACACGUGGUUCUAAGAAGCCACAGACCAGCUUUGAGGGGUGACCCAGGGCCAUAGCCUCAGCCCCAUCCCUCCACCGCCCCCCGCCCCACAGUGCAGUCGGUGCACUUGUGUCAGCUACCAGCAGCCAAGGCUCAGGUGGUGAGCAACUUCCCGCACGGGGUAGGCUGUCACCUAACAGUGGUCAUCAGUGACGCUGGUCACAGGUCCUGAGCAGCCCAUGAGCAGGGAGUUUGUGGGUCUAGACAAACUCUGCAGCCUCUCUGGGAGGGGACAAGCAGACACGGUCUCAGAGUCCCUUCAGCAAAGCCGGCUCAGGAAAGCCCUCCCCCUCAUGGCUGCCCCCCCCCUCCAGAUUUUCUUCGUGCCAGAGGAAUGGCUUUUGGGAAAGACACAAGUAGGACUGGCGACCCAGCCACAGGAACUGAGGACACCUCACUUGCCGGGUGAUGCUCUGGCUUCAGGUCAUUCCUGUCAUGGUGGCGGUUCCUGCCUUCAUUGGCCAGUGCGCUCGUGGGACUGUGACAGUCUGUGGGGUCACCUAGCAGUUGCAGCUAUAGCAUCCUUUAACCAUCCUCCUGGCACAGACGAGGAAACUGAAGCCCCGGAAUAUGGCACUUACUUCAUUCCGUCAACAGACGUGCAGCAGACGGGUCCACAUGCAGGCGGGUCAGGCUCAAGCCUCACUUCUGACAUUCUGGGGUGCUGGGAAUGCAGUGGGGUCCGGGCCCCGAGCCCUGGAGUGAAGGGAGGAAGCAGAUCCCCAACAAGCCCCGGGCUGCCCUUCGCAUCCCCAGCUUUGCAAACUGCCCUCCUCGGCGCCUGAGACGCCCCGGCUGCCCUUGCUCCCAUGCUCAGAUGCCGCAGUCCUCCUGUCCUAUCUUGCAAGACAUGGACCAGAACCUUCCUUCUGGAGCCGCCUCCCCAGCUACAGAUUAAAAUACACAAAGGCCUCGCUGCAAUAUUUGAACAAGGGCCCUGAGCGCUUUCCCCACGGCGCCUCUUGGGGAGGAGAAGAUGGAUGAGACCCCCGCUUCCCCAACCAAGCCCCCAAACCCAGACUCCGGUCACGGUGGCCCAGCUGGUGCCUCAGCGAGUCCAAAGCUACAGAGGAAGCCCCCAAAUGCGGCGGAGCAGACUUUCAAACCGGUGGCGGUGAUAUCUCAGGAGCCUGGGCUUCGAAAGAAGAAAAAGUCGCCACCCACCAGAGAUGAGCCGGCUGUCACGCAGUGCCUUUGGGGCUGCAGGCGCAGAGGGAACACGAGCUGGUUCCGGGCUUUCCUGGGGUGGGGGCAAGGUGAGCACCUGGCUCUGGACCCAGGGCUUCCUCUCACCUGUAAACCCGUCGUGUUUCACUGGGGCUGCAGAAUGCCUGUCAGCCUGUUGGAGGAGCGUUCCCCGCAUUGAUCCCACUCGCUCUUCUGUUAAGACUGAUGGUUUUACAAACUUCAUCAUCCCAGAGAUUGGCUUUCCGUCAGGUCAGUAGCCCAGGAGAAGUUUCACCACCUUUGCUGAAUGUUUCCCACCUGGUUCCCAGAUGCCCGCUACCUGGGGAGAGGUUUCCUGACCUUGACCCUAACACUGCUGGAGGCCUCCAGGGGGUGAGAGGAAAGCUUCCAUCCACAAUGCACAGGUGAUUCUAGAAACACAGGGUCCUGUCCUUCGAAAGUUCCGGUCGGUCAGGAAGCCUCCCGGUGGCGGUGCCUCAUUGCCCUACCCCUCACACAGAGCUUUAGGGUGACAUCCUCAGCAAGGGGUUUGUUCCCCCCACUUUUUACCCAUUUUGCUCCAAGGAAGGCCUAUUGUGCCUGUUUGAAAAAAAAAAAAAAAAAGCUGGGGUCAGCGAGCGUUGGGCAAGGGCUCUCUGCUAGUCACCUAGGCUCUUGCGCCAUCUCCAGAGCUAGCCCUGGGCUCAGAACCGGGGAGCCCCUGGCUAAGGGCCCAGAAAGGUCCCAGCGCAGGUGCUUUCCUGCCCCCGCCCCCCUGCUCUUGCACCCAUCUCUGGGCACACCCAGCCUGCCUUGGCCGCCUUCUGAGCCCACUCUCCUAGGCAAAGCUGCUGUCCUCCCCAAAUGUCACUGUCCUAUGGGUUUGGCUAGUCCCUGAUCUUUGCAGGAGAAGGGGGUGGACCCAGGAGCCAUCCUUGCUUUGGGGACAGUGGGACCGGAUUGAGAAAGGCACUCCUAUUAGGAGGGGACUUGGGAUUCUCAAGAGACUUGGUUUUUCUGCUUUCCAGGGGCUCAGAGGUGGGGCUUGAGGCCAGGCCCACAGCCGGGGGCAGCUGGAGUGCCAUCUGAACCCCAGAGAACUGGGGACAGACAAAAGCAGCACUUGGGGCUGUCCUGUAAAUAGGCCCAAUUUGUUCACUUACUGGGGCUUAAUGGCAACAUAAAGGGUGACUGGAAGUGACAGCCUUUUUGAUGGUGUCAGCAAAUGUCACAAUUCUUAUCUUCCCCUGGCAUCCCUUCCCCAGCUUGGAGCUAUUUGGGCUUUCUGGUUGGCGCGGUUCAGCCCCCAUGGCUCAGACUCACACUCUUACCGCUGUCCCACUUGAUAUUACAAAGUUGCCAGCCCUCGCUCCUGCAGGAAGGGGCAUCGCUCGUCCCUGGGCUCCCCAGUCCCACGUGAGCUCUGAUUGCAGCUUCCAGGAGAACAUUUCGGCCUCAACCCCUGUUGCAGAAUUCUUGGAUUUAGUCAAGAGUCUUGUAAUCAUGUUGACUUCCCCUGGACCUGUGCUCCAAGAGUCCCUUUUCUCUCCAGGAACCGGUCCUCCUGACCUGGAGUAGGAAGUGCAGUUGUAGGUAGCAGGUAAGCAGCCCUUUCUCAACGGCUUGACAACCCCACGACCCCAGGUGACACCAGCAGUUUUACGGCUCUUCUCAGUAACAGUUUUGGUUUGGAGGUUUGGAAUCAGGGAACAGGGGAUCUGAGCCAGGUUUGUUUGCAAUCAUGUGGACUUGAAUCAUUUUUGCUAUUUGGGGUGGAAAAUUGAAAUGAUCAAGUGUUUGGUUUUUUUUUUUUUUUUUUUAACUUAGAAAAGCAAAUAUUGUGCUUUUGUAAUAAAUGCCUUUCAGCAAAAUUGCCAAGGGUCACUUUUCCGGUGGGGACCCACCUGAGCCACAGUGCUGAGUUGUCACAUUAGUAGGUCAGCCAUCUGUAAACUGAAGUGGCCCUAAUUAGCCCAAAAUGGUUAAGACCUGCCAGCCUCCAGGCAGGACGAGGACGGCCCCCUCACGUCUCGGCACGCUGAUUUCCAUUGGCAGCAAAAUGCUGCUCUGCAGUCUUCCUGCAUAGGGUACUUAAAAAAAAUAUUAGCAAUUCCACAAAUGACGACAUUUUAAAUAGCACCACCUCACGCAGACAGCAGGGAGGACAUUUAGCUUGGGUAGGUGACCGUCACAGUGUCUUCUUAGGUCAAGGCUGCAGUUCCCAAGAGCCACAGCGAAGGAAUGGGCUUCAGCCUUGACUUUGGGGAGGGGCUGACCAAUCAGACCCCAAGCCUUACCCCCAAGAGUCUGCGGAUCUGUAGACAAGGCACAUCACGUCUUCCCAACCUUCCUCAGGUGUGAACACCCGCGCCUUGUUUACUGUCACAUUUGUGUCCUCUGGAGUUUGAGGGAGGCUGUCACGCUUACUGUGAUGUCUUACACAUAAUUGUAACCUUAUAGCUGCUGGAGGGAAUGUCCACAUUCGAAGGCAAAGCCAACCACAUGUUAGUUGCACUCAGUACCUAUGUAUGACAGACACAUUAAGUGAAUGUUUUCAGGUCAACAAUAUUUAGUACAUGUAAAUAAGGACAAAAUUUGAUAAAUACGGUAAAUUAAGUUAUAGCGUGUCAUUUGAUUUUUACUUUGCUCUCUCUCGUUAUUUAAUUUUCCUGAUGCUCUGCAUCAGGGCUUGUGCCUAGGCAGUAGAGACCUGGUCUAUAACCCACUUUGCAGGUCGUGUGCACCCCGAUGCGCCGAUGGAAGGGGCUCAUGCCCAGGGACACCCAUGGCUGCUGACGGCCACUGCCUGGCUCUCCAAUUUGCCCUCUUUCUCUCUUUAAUUCUGAUUUACUGUGACAACCUAAUAAAGUAGAAACACAGCA